GAGCAGGAAGUGUAAAUUGAACGUCUCACCGGCAGCGCCAAAACUAAAUAGGUGUGGAUUUUGUUUCUACGUCAUACGUGAACACCUGGGGAUGAAGACCAUGGGACACUUUUUAUUUUGACGAUAUCGACACAACUGAAAAAGUACUCACGGAAGGGGUUGGCCAGCUUCCUGACCGUCAGGGUGAAGCCGCUGCCGGCGUUGUGCAGGCGGAAGAAGAUCAUGGCCACGUUUUGCGACGAGCGCACGCUUCUUCUGGCGGAGGCGGAGUCACAAAAGCCCACGUAGCGCUCGUGCGGGGCCAGCGUGUGGUCCUGGGAGCUGGGGAACUUCUCCCCCUUCAUCACCCAGCCGUCAAACACCUGCAGGGGACGAAGCGGUCAGGACGACCGGGACCGCCCGGCGGUGGCGGCAACCUCACCGUGAUGAAGUCUCCACCCUGGCAGUCGAUGUCCACGCUGUCGUACUCCACGCUGAUGACCUCGUGGGGCUCCGCCAUGAAGAAGGCGGCGCAGCUGAGCUGGGGCUGCUCCGCCGUGAAGGUGAAGCGACCCUCCACCGACACCAUGUCCAGACAACCUGCCACACGUCCACACCGCUCGGAGUUGAAAAAGGAAUAGAGUUCAUCCGUCAGGAUGUCGUUGUCCUGCCCGGAGGAGAAAAGAGGGAGUGAGAUGCGUGACGACGACGAUGAUGAUGAUGAUGAUGAUGAUGAUGAUGAU
Entelurus aequoreus (snake pipefish) is the source of this 722-nucleotide long non-coding RNA. RefSeq lists it as uncharacterized. Lineage: Eukaryota; Metazoa; Chordata; Actinopteri; Syngnathiformes; Syngnathidae. The transcript is spliced from 3 exons. The record is from RefSeq and is a predicted model, not a curated record.